RNAcentral lists this ribosomal RNA (376 nucleotides) under uncultured delta proteobacterium. Its description in RNAcentral is "bacterial SSU rRNA". It matches the Rfam family "Bacterial small subunit ribosomal RNA", at positions 485 to 859 of the family's 1533-position model. Lineage: Bacteria; Deltaproteobacteria. The record is from RNAcentral.
AGGAAGCACCGGCUAACUCCGUGCCAGCAGCCGCGGUAAUACGGAGGGUGCAAGCGUUGUUCGGAAUUAUUGGGCGUAAAGCGCGUGUAGGCGGUCGAGUAAGUCAGAUGUGAAAGCCUUCCGCUCAACGGAAGAAGUGCAUUUGAAACUGCUUGGCUAGAGUACGGGAGAGGAGAGUGGAAUUCCCGGUGUAGAGGUGAAAUUUGUAGAUAUCGGGAGGAGCACCAGUGGCGAAGGCGGCUCUCUGGUCCGAUACUGACGCUGAGACGCGAAAGCGUGGGGAGCAAACAGGAUUAGAUACCCUGGUAGUCCACGCCGUAAACGAUGGGCACUAGGUGUAGGAGGUAUUGACCCCUUCUGUGCCGAAGCUAACGCA